UACGGGAGGCAGCAGUGGGGAAUAUUGCACAAUGGGCGCAAGCCUGAUGCAGCCAUGCCGCGUGUAUGAAGAAGGCCUUCGGGUUGUAAAGUACUUUCAGUCGUGAGGAAGGUGUUAAGGUUAAUAACCUUAGCAAUUGACGUUAGCGACAGAAGAAGCACCGGCUAACUCCGUGCCAGCAGCCGCGGUAAUACGGAGGGUGCGAGCGUUAAUCGGAAUUACUGGGCGUAAAGGGCACGCAGGCGGUUAAUUGAGUUGGAUGUGAAAUCCCCCGGGCUUAACCUGGGAAUGGCAUUCAAGACUGGUUAGCUAGAGUCUUGUAGAGGGGGUAGAAUUCCAUGUGUAGCGGUGAAAUGCGUAGAGAUGUGGAGGAAUACCGGUGGCGAAGGCGGCCCCUGGGACAAAGACUGACGCUCAUGUGCGAAAGCGUGGGGAGCAAACAGGAUUAGAUAC
RNAcentral lists this ribosomal RNA (453 nucleotides) under uncultured bacterium. RNAcentral describes it as "bacterial SSU rRNA". It matches the Rfam family "Bacterial small subunit ribosomal RNA", at positions 340 to 785 of the family's 1533-position model. The record is from RNAcentral.